Galeopterus variegatus (Sunda flying lemur) is the source of this 331-nucleotide long non-coding RNA. RefSeq lists it as uncharacterized. Lineage: Eukaryota; Metazoa; Chordata; Mammalia; Dermoptera; Cynocephalidae. The transcript has 3 exons. The record is from RefSeq and is a predicted model, not a curated record.
AGCUCUCACUUCUCAUCCUUUUCCACAGACCUGUCUUUAGAAUCAGGCACCAAAUCCCCCCGCCACUUCUGCAAACAAACAAAAUUAUUUUGAUUUAUUUCAACCACAUACACAGAAGGGGGCAUAUCCCAGGCACUACAGGCAGUUCUUGACACACCAGCCCAAUCAGAAAACCCACCUGCUGUAUACUCCUGGACAAGAAGACAAGACCACCAUCACGAUCAGGAUCAUCUCCAUUAGAGCACCAGAAAGCAGAGCAGCAACCCAGAUUCCCAAACCCUACCCAGAGACUCUGCCGCAACGCUCUUCCCACUUCUCUCUGUAGGGCCAG